CUCAGGCACAUGGAGAUGGGGACCCAAGCUCAGAUGCUCUUUCUCCUGUUCUUCUGGAUCCCAGAUGCCCGAGGGGCCGUUGUGCUGACCCAGUCUCCAGCCUCCCUGGCUGCGUCUCCAGGAGAGAGAGUCACCAUGUCCUGCAGGGCCAGUCAGGGUAUUAGCAACGACCUACACUGGUACCAACAGAAACCAGGCCAGGCCCCCAGGCUCCUCAUCUAUGAUGCUUCUAACCUGGCAUCCGGGGUCCCUGCCCGGUUCAGCGGCAGUGGGUAUGGGACAGAUUUCUCCCUCACAAUCAGCAACGUGGAGGCUGAGGACGCAGCAGUCUAUUACUGUCAGCAGUGGUAUAGCUCUCCUCCCACAGUGAUACAGCCCCGAACAAAAACCUGCCCAGCAGCUGCUGAGGGAGCAUCAGGGCCCCAGGGGCCUCUCCUUCCCCUGGGCUGGGACUGGGCAGCUUGUCUGGGCUGCCUCAAGGGGAGGUUUCUGGGUCUCAGAGGAAGAUGCUGGGGAUGUGAGAAUACUCCCCGAUUUAUUUUCCUGCCAAGAAUCCACCAAAAUGAAUCCACAGAGUAGCUGGCCCUGAAAUUAAGUCUCAUCCCCCGUGUCCAUCACUUCUCUGCCAGGAGGGGGCAGCACACUUACUUCAUCAUUGGUCCCCUGGAGAGAAAUGAUUGGUCAUUUUAGGGUCAGGAUUUCUCCCUCAUCUCUGCUGGAUCCUUCCCCAGAUCCUGCCCUCUAACUGUAGGUGCCCCUCGGGGCUCUAUCUCGGCCCCCAUUCUCUUCUCCUCUAUAUCACUUCCCUUGGUGACAUCAUCAGCUCCCAUGGAUUGAAUUCCCUUUGCUUUGCUGAGAAGUCACAGAUCUCCCUCUCCUGCCCCAUCUCUCUCCCACCCUCCAAGCUGGCAUUUUAGACAACACAGAUUGGAAACCCAGUAGACAUUUUAACUUCGCUAGGUCCUGUAUGUGCCAAAAUGUUUGUAGCAGCCCUUUUUGUAAUGGUUUGAAACUGGAAACGGAGUGGAUGCCCAUCAAUUGGAGAAUGGCUGAAUAAGUUACAGUAUAUGAAUGUUAUGGAAUAUUAUUGUUCCAUAAAAAAUGACCGGCAGGAGGAUUUCAGAAAGGCCUGGAGAGACAUGAACUGAGGCUGAGUGAAAUGAGCAGGACCACGAGAUCAUUAUAUAUCUCAACAACAAUAAUAUAUGAGCAUCAAUUCUGAUGUAAGUGGCCAUUUUCAACAAUGAGAGGAUCCAAAUCAAUUCUAAUUGUUCAGUAAUGAACAGAACCAAAUUCACCCAGCAAAAGAACACUGGGAAAUGAGUGUGGACCACAACAUAGCAUUUCCACUCUUUCUGUUAUUGUUUGCUGCAUUUUUGUUUUUCUUCCCAGGUUAUUUUUACCUUCUUUCUAAAUCCAACUUUUCUUCUGUAGCAAGAAAACUGUAUAAAUAAGUAUACGUAUAUUGUAUUUAACAUAUACUUUAACAUAUUUAACAUGUAUGGGACUACCUGCUAUCUAGGGGAGGAGGUCGAGAGAAAGGAGGGGAAAAGUUGGAACAGAAGUUUUUGCAAGAGUCAAUGUUGAAAAAUUACCCAUGUAUGUGUUUUGUCAAUAAAAAUCUAUAAAAAUAAAUAAAAUUAUGUUUGUUUUUACCAAAAAGUAAAAAUAAUAAUAAACUGGAUAGAUCCAAAUCAGAA
Antechinus flavipes (yellow-footed antechinus) is the source of this 1700-nucleotide non-coding RNA. The record is from the annotation of a RefSeq genome assembly. NCBI's taxonomy places the organism in Eukaryota, Metazoa, Chordata, Mammalia, Dasyuromorphia, Dasyuridae.